Molecule: ribosomal RNA, 447 nt
Filed under: uncultured bacterium
Lineage: Bacteria
Description: partial 16S ribosomal RNA
Rfam family: Bacterial small subunit ribosomal RNA
Source: RNAcentral
GUCCAGACUCCUACGGGAGGCAGCAGUGGGGAAUAUUGCACAAUGGGGGAAACCCUGAUGCAGCGACGCCGCGUGAGUGAAGAAGUAUUUCGGUAUGUAAAGCUCUAUCAGCAGGAAAGAAAAUGACGGUACCUGACUAAGAAGCCCCGGCUAACUACGUGCCAGCAGCCGCGGUAAUACGUAGGGGGCAAGCGUUAUCCGGAUUUACUGGGUGUAAAGGGAGCGUAGACGGUGAAGCAAGUCUGAAGUGAAAGGCGGGGGCUCAACCCCCGGACUGCUUUGGAAACUGUUUGACUGGAGUGCAGGAGAGGUAAGUGGAAUUCCUAGUGUAGCGGUGAAAUGCGUAGAUAUUAGGAGGAACACCAGUGGCGAAGGCGGCUUACUGGACCGAAACUGACGUUGAGGCUCGAAAGCGUGGGGAGCAAACAGGAUUAGAUACCCGAGUAG